This 305-nucleotide ribosomal RNA is filed under the name uncultured bacterium. RNAcentral's name for it is "bacterial SSU rRNA". It matches the Rfam family "Bacterial small subunit ribosomal RNA", at positions 334 to 656 of the family's 1533-position model. The record is from RNAcentral.
GUUACCUACGGGACGCAGCAGUCGGGAAUAUUGCGCAAUGGAGGAAACUCUGACGCAGUGACGCCGCGUAUAGGAAGAAGGUUUUCGGAUUGUAAACUAUUGUCGUGAGGGAAGAAGAUGACAGUACCUCAGGAGGAAGCUCCGGCUAACUAUGUGCCAGCAGCCGCGGUAAUACAUAGGGAGCAAGCGUUAUCCGGAAUUAUUGGGUGUAAAGGGUGCGUAGACGGGAAAUUAAGUUAGUUGUGAAAUCCCUUGGCUUAACUGAGGAACUGCAACUAAAACUGAUUUUCUUGAGUACUGGAGAG